UAGCGGUUGUAUGAAGUAACAGGCUUCAUAAGCUAUCCCGUAUCUUUUGGCUGCUCCCUGUGUGUGUGGGGUCGCCACAGCGGACCAACUGGUCCGCACACCAACUUGGCACAGGUUUUACGCCGGAUGCCCUUCUUGACCCAACCCUCCCAUUUUAUCCGGUCUUGGGACCGGCACUGCAUCCAGUGGCUAGGGGUUGGGCACUGGCUGGGAAUCGAACCCGGGUCUUCCGCAUGUCAUCAUGAAAUAGAAGUCUUCAGUAACAUCUAAAACAAGAUGGCAGCAGCUGAAGGUGCUCCGGCAGUCCAGCGGCCUGUGCUGCGGAAAUGCAGCAGCAGCCUUGUGGAACCACCUACUAGUGAGUGACCACCUUUAAUGAUGUCAUUUUCAAUGGCGUCC
Long non-coding RNA from Hemibagrus wyckioides, 399 nucleotides. RefSeq lists it as uncharacterized. NCBI's taxonomy places the organism in Eukaryota, Metazoa, Chordata, Actinopteri, Siluriformes, Bagridae. The record is from RefSeq and is a predicted model, not a curated record. The transcript has 3 exons.